This 8707-nucleotide long non-coding RNA is filed under the name Homo sapiens (human). RNAcentral's name for it is "HSALNT0371031". Lineage: Eukaryota; Metazoa; Chordata; Mammalia; Primates; Hominidae. The record is from RNAcentral.
GUAACUUACCAGCCUCACUACUGCCCCAUAAUGAAAUAAACAUGUUCAAAGGAGGCUGCAUGGGCUGGAGAGUGACGCAAAGUGAAUUAAGUGAAAUAAAGCAAAAAAUAUAUAAUAGAAUGCUUCAUCUAAUUAAUUCUUUUUUCUCCCUGAGGCCCUUCUUUCUCUCCAAGUGGCCUCAUAGUGGCCCCAAAAGCUGGCAUCAGAAAAAGGUCCAAUGGCAGCCACCUUAGUAUAAAAACAGUUAAGUCCAUCUAUCACCUCCACGAGGAGUUCCUGGCCUGUCAGAGUGGGAAGGGGCUGGGUAGUCACCUCAUUUAAUCCCCCCCCUUUACAAACCUCGAGGAAACCGCAAACACGAGAAAAGAAUGGGCCAGCCGGGGGUUUGUUCCCCUUGGCCUCCCCCAGAAUGCCUGCAGCUUCCCAAGGAAAGGGUGGACACUGGAUGUAGCUCUCAGAAACCAGAAUCUUGAUAAGAAAUUGAAGUUGUUCUCAUAUUCAUAUAUGAUUAUCAUAACUCCUGAUUUUUCUUUUCUUUUUUUUGAGAGAGGGUCUUGCUCUGUUGCCCAGGCUGGAGUGCAGUGACACAAUCUCAGCUCACUGCAACCUCCACCUCCUGGACUCAGCAAUGCUCCACCUUAGCCUUCCAAGUAGCUGAGACUACAGGAGUGCACCACCAUGCCCAGCUAAUUUUUGUAUUUUUGGUAGAGACAGGGUUUUGCCGUGUUGCCCAGGCUGGUCUCCAACUCCUAGGCUCAAGUGUUCCUCCCACCUCGGCCUCCCAAAGUGCUGAGAUUACAGCCGUAAGCCACCACACCUGGCCCUGUUUUGUUUUAAUUUAAGGAUAUCUAAUCAUUCCACAUCAGCAUAUGUGGAAUGCUAUAGCACAUCAGCUAUAGUUUCCUUAUUCUUUCUAAUGAUUUCAUAGCAUUUCAUUGGGCAGAUAAAUGGUGCAAGAAUGAUUUAAUUAGUUCCCUAACUUUUAGAUGGUUUUCAAUCUUUUUCUAUUGCAAACAGAGCUAUAAGGGAUUGCAGCUUUGUGCUUGAGUCUGUCAGUAGAAUAUAUAUCUGAAAGUGAUCAUCCACGUCUCAGGAUUCCUACCCUAUCACCAACUAUUUGUCCUUGAGAAGUUUAUUUGUAAGAUCUGAGCAGGUGGGACAACCUCAUAUCCAACUGGUAUCCCCAGGAGUCUACGCAGUGCCAUGCCCUUGGCAGGCACUCAGAGAGAGUGGUUUAAGGGCUAACACUGCAAGCAUUCACACUGUAAUCAGAUGGCCUCUUCUAGGAAACCUUUGCUGAUAUCCUUGGCCCCCUUUCCCCAUGGACCCUUCAUUCAUUCCACAAAUGUUUGUGGAAGGUUGAUUAGGGGGACCCUGUAUCAAAUCAGCCUCUUAGGUAUAUAUAGCCUGGUAGGUGAGUUAAAACAAAUUCUGGAAAGCACUCUAAGGCUGUGCUGUUUGAUGGGAUACAUUAGCUACAUACAGCUACUUAAAUUUAAUUAAAAUAAAAUGUAAAAUUCAGCUCCUUAACCCAGUACCUACAUUUGAAGGGGCUAGAAGUGACAGCACUGAAUGGUGCAGAUACAGAAUAUCCCUAUCAUUGGCUGGGCGCUGUGGGUCACACCUGUAAUCCCAGCAUUUUGGGAUGCUGAGGCAGGUGGAUCACCUGAGGUCAGGAGUUCAAGACCAGCCUGGCCAACAGGAUGAAACCCCCGUCUCUAUUAAAAAUACAAAAAUUGGACAAGCGUGGUGGUGCACACCUGUAAUCCCAGCAACUCGGGAGGCUGAGGCAGGAGAAUUGCUUGAACCCAGGAGGCAGAGUUUGCAAUGAGCUGAUUGCACCACUGCACUCAAGCCUGGGUGACAGAGGGGGAUUCUGUCUCAAAAAAAAAAAAAGAAUAUCUUGAAUAACUCUAUCAUCUUCUGUGGGACAGCCCUGAAGGGAGGCUUAGCAUAGUGGGCAACCCUGUGGGCUCUGGAUUCCUGUAAGCUCUGAGUUCGAAUCCUAUCAUUAUUUCCUAGCUAUAAAAUUUGGCCAAGCAAGUUAACCUGUCUUUGAGCCUCAGCCAUAAAGGUGGGGAAUUACAGCCCCUUAUGGAGAUUUGGCAAGGAUUCAAAGGUACUGCAAAUGUGAGGGGCUUUGCACAAAGUCAUAGUAAUAUUAUAAAAAAUCUGGAGUGAAGCCAGGCGCAGUGGCUCAUGCCUAUAAUCCCAGCAAUUUGGGAGGCCAAGGCGGACAGAUCACCUGUGCUCAGGAGUUCGAGACCAGCUUGGGCAACAUGAUAAAACCCUAUCUCUACUAAAAAUACAAAAAUUAGCUGGGUGUGGUGGCGUGCGCCUGUAGUCCCAGCUACUCAGGAGGCUGAGGCACAAGAACCGCUUGAACCCAGGAGGCAGAGGUUGCAGUGAGCCAAGAUCAUUCACUGCACUCCAGCCUGGGUGACAUCCCGAGACUCCGUCUCCAAACCAAAACGAAACUAAACAACAUGCAGAAUACUAAUAAUACUAAGUUGUGCGGACCAUGUAAGGAAACCAAAAGGGUUAUGUCUGUAUCUACAUGCUUUUUUUUUUUUUUUUUUUUUUGUGAGACAGAGUCUUGCUAUAACACCCAGGCUGGAGUACAAUGGCACAAUCUCGGCUCACUGAAACCUCCGCCUCCCGGGUUCAAGCAAUUCUCCUGCCUCAGCCUCCCAAGUAGCUGGGACUACAGGCGCAUACCACCAUGCCCGGCUGAUUUUUGUGUUUUUAGUAGAGACAGGGUUUCACCAUACUGGCCAGGCAGGUCUCAAACUUCUGACCUCAGGUGAUCCGCCCAUCUCGGCCUCCCAGACUGCUGGGACUACAGGCAUGAGCCACCGUGCCCGACCCAUACAUUCUUUAGUAUGUGCAGAAUUUCCUUUGGAAAGAUCAAAAAGUGAGAAAAAGAACUGGGAAAAGAGAAGAAAGCCUAUUUUUUGGUAAAGUGAUAUUUUUACCACAUAUGUACAUGAACGGUGCCUGAUUUUAAACCUUAUUGACUUAAUCUCAUUUUAGAUGCUGUAGUACCUCUUGAAUUUUGUACCGCACAGAUGUAUUACCUACUCAAAAAUAAUUCCAUUUUAUUCCUUUUUUAAGUCUAUAAGAUUCAAAAUCAGGCAAACCUAAACCAAAACUAAAUUUUUUUUUUUUUUUUGAGACAGGGUCUUGCUCUGUCACCCAGGCUCUGGUGUGCAGUGGUGUGAUCACAGCUCACUGUAGCCUCCACCUCCCGCGCUCAGGCAAUGCUCCCACCUCAGACUCCCGAGUAGCUGGGACUUGUAGGCAUGCAAGACCAGGCCCAGCUAAUUUUGGUACUUUUUGUAGGGACUCUGUUUUGCCAUGUUACUCAGGCUGUUCUCAAACUCCUGAGCUCAAGUGAUCCACCCCUCAGCCUCCCAAAGUGGGGGAUUACAGGCUAAAUAUUCUUUAGAUAUAGAUACAUAAGUCACAAAACAGGAAUAAAAGCAAGGAAUGAUUAACACAAAAUGCUGCAAAAGACCAUUCAGGAAAGGAAUGUGAACAGAGAUACUAGUGACUUUCUGUUUCUUAAUCCACCUGCUGGGCAUCUAAGACUGUUCCUUAAAGUAUAGUUAAAUAUUUUUCAGAUUCUAUUGUAUUUAUGAGAUAUUCCACAAUUUUUUCUUUUUCUUUUUUUUCUUUUUUUUUUUGAGACGGAGUCUCGCUCUGUCGCCCAGGCUGGAGUGCAGUGGCAUGAUCUCGGGUCACUGCAACCUCUGCCUCCCUGGUUCAAGCGAUUCUCCUGCCUCAGCCUCCUGAGUAGCUGGGACUACAGGCAAAUGCCGCCACACCCAGCUAAUUUUUGUAUUUUUUGUAGAGACGGGGUUUUGCCAUGUUGGCCAGGCUGGUCUCGAACUUCUGAGCUCAGGUGAUCUGCCCGCCUCAGCCUCCCAAAGUGCUGGGAUUACAGGCCUGAGGCACUGCGCCCAGCCUUAUUUUCUUGUAUUAUUGUAUCACAGAAAUAUACACACCAGCCAGGUGCUGUGGCUCAUGCCUGUAAUCCCACCACUUUGGAAGGCCAAGGUGGGCAGAUCAUUUGAGGUAAGGAGUUGGAGACCAGCCUGGUCAACAUGAUGAGACCCUGUCUCUACUAAAAAUACAAAAAUUAGCCAGGCAUGGCGACACGCGCCUGUAAUCCCACCUACUCAGGAGGCUGAGGCAGGAAAAUUGCUUAAACCCGGGAGGCAGAGAUUGCAGUGAGCCAAAAUCAUGCCACUGCACUCCAGCAUGGGUGACUAAGCAAGUCUCCAUCUCAAAAAAAAAAAAGAAAGAAAGAAAGAAAUAUACACACCAUCUCUCAUCUUGCCUUUCACUGACUAUAAUCUUGGACCCCUUUCCACGUGCUAUCUGUAGAACUGCCAUUCUAAAGUAUUAUUUAGGCUGGGCGCGGUGGCUCACGCCUGUAAUCCCAACACUGGGAGGCUGAGGCAGGCGGAUCACCUGAGGUCAAGAGUUGGAGACCAGCCUGGCCAACAUGGUGAAACCCCGUCUCUACUAAAAAUACCAAAAAUUUGUUGGGCGUGGCGGCAUGUGCCUGUAAUCCCAGCUACUCGGGAGGUUAAGACAGGAGAAUCGCUGGAACCCGGGAGUCAGAGGUUGCAGUGAUCCGAGAUCGCACCAUUGCACCCCAGGGGCCUAGACAACAAGAGCGAAACUUCGUCUCAAAAAAAAAAAAAAAGAAAAGAAAAAGAAAAAAAGUAUUAUUUAAGUGUUACAUAAAUCUGAGUGUUGUGAUAGAAAAUUCGAUUGGUUUUAAAAAGUCACAGAGUAAAGUGUAUAUUAUGACCCAUUUAUGUCAAAACAAGCUAUUUAUAGUAAUAUUUGUAUAUAUAUAUGUGUGCCCCCCCACCAAAAAAAAAAAAAGAUAAGAAAGGCUUGGAGACUGGGCACGGUGGCUCACUCCUGUAAUCCUAGCACUUUGGGAGGCUGAGGCAGAUGGAUCACCUGAGGUCAGGAGUUCGAGACCAGUCUGGCCAACAUGGCGAAACCCUGUCUCUACUAAAGAUACAAAAAUUAGCUGGGCGUGGUGGCGCUCGCCUGUAAUCCCAGCUACUUGAGAGGCUGAGGAAGGAGAAUCGCUUGAACCUGGGAGGUAGAAGUUGCAAUGAGCCGAGAUCAUGCCACUGCACUUCAGCCUGCCCAACGGGAGCAAGACUCCAUCUCAAAAAAAAAAAAAAGAAAGGCUUGGAAUUGCGCGGCAAACCACUACCUUUGAUUCCCUCACAGGAGGGGAGAAAAUUUUAACGGGGUUAUAUUUAUAUAUUAUUUGCGUCUUUAACAACAAUUUUGACCUUUUACAUUUGUCAAAUAUUUCAAACAUAAUGAAAGUUAUAAAAUAAAUAAAGAGGGCCUAGUGCAGUGGCUCACGCGUAUAAUCCUAACAUUUUGGGAGGCUCAGGCAGGCAGAUCACCUGAGGUCAGGGGUUCGAGACCAGCCUGGGCACCAUGGCAAAGCCCCGUCUCUACUAAAAAUACACAAAUUGGCCAGCUGGGAUUACAGGUGCCCACCACCAUGCCUGGCUCAUUUUUGUGUUUUUAGUAGAGGCAGGGUUUCACCAUGUUGGCCAGGCUGCUCUCGAACUCCAGACCUCAGGUGGAUGCACCCGCCUCGGCCUCCCAAAGUGCUGGGACUACAGGCGUGUGCCACCGCGCCCAGCGAAUUCUUCAUUUUAUAAUCUGUCUCUUCCACUGUGAGGGUUGAAAGGAACACUGAAUAUAACAGGUGAGUUAAUUAAGGGGUUAAUGCCAGGAAGAGUCACGAAAGUUCAAAGAUUCUUUAAAAAACUUGUCUUUUUAGGGCGGGCGCGGUGGCUCACGCCUGUAAUCCCAUCACUUUGGGAGGCCGAGGCGUGUGGAUCACCUGAGGUCAGAAGUUUGAGACCAGCCUGGCCAACAUGGUGAAACCCCCCCUCUACUAAAAAUACAAAAAUUAACCGGGCGUGGUGGCGCGUGCCUGUAAUCACAGCUACUAGCGGGGCUGAGGCAGGAAGAUCGCUUGUACCCGAGAGGCGGAGGUUGUGGUGAGCCGAGAUCGCGCCACUGCACUCCAGCCUGGGCAACAGAGCGAGACUCUGUCUCAAAAAAACAAAAAAGAAAAAAAAGAAAAAAAAAAAAAAAAAUUGCCUCUUUGGAUUGAUGGACAAGUACUUUAACCAAUGGAAAUAAAAAUCUAAGCAUUACUUCAUCAUACUCAAUUGUGAUUGGUUGACGAUCCCCGAGGGAGGGCUCAGAGGGCUGGCAAUUAACCCUUUCAGGGAAAAUCAGGCCUUUUGCAUUUAUUUUAUUUUAAAGUUGAAGUAGUAACAGAUGAAAAGCCUACAAAAGUCCCCGGACUUUCAAAUACCACAUUUCAGUCUUAGCCCAGAAAGCAGGAUUUCGCCCCACAAAGGAAUAGUCAAGGACAAAUUUCCUGGAGAAAAGUUUUGAACUUUUAGAACGGGGAAUCCGCUGACCUCGCUGAGUAAGUGAGAAGGUUGAUUCACUUUUUGUGCUGUUGGAACAGGGACCAGUGUUGGAGAUGAUUCCAUUAAUCUUGCGAAGUGAUCAGUCACUGGGAGGAUUGAAUUGCAUUUCCUGCCUAAAGAUAGAGACAGAUGACCUUUGCUGCAGCCCUCAGACCCCCAGUUCACAGCUGGGGAGAGGAUGUGUCAGCGUUUACUUUCAGGUCUCACCCUGCCCUUUGUUCAAAAUUCAGACUCUUUUGUGUUUAGGCUGCUGCUGGGGUUUUUGUAGUUGUUGAUGCUGCUUUUUUUUUUUUUUUUUUUUUUUUUUUUAUAUAACCGCCCACAUCCUGCAACUUCUGAGAAACAAACUCUCUAUUUGGUAGAAGAUAAAAUCUGGAGGUGCCUCGGAGAGGGAACCAGAAUAGACAGGGAAUUCCGACAGGCCAUUGGGCCUUUAGGCUUUAAUUACUGCCCUCACCCCUUCCUGGACUCCCUAAAUGCUGCAGGCUGAACUGGAUGGAGCCAAAAGUCCAGCAAAAUGAAUAACAAUGCUUCGUGUUUAUAUGGCUCUACUACAAGAAAGCUUUUACACACAUUACCUCAUGGAAGAGGCACUGCUAAAGCAGAAGUAUUUACAUAAAUGAACAUUCGCAGUUCCUAAAUGUAGUCAGCUGCAUGACCUAGGACAAAGUGUCCAAACUUAAGUCUCAGUUUUCUCAUCUGUAAAAUGGGGUCACAUGAAAGUUACCAGAGGAGGCCGGGCGCAGUGGCUCACGCCUGUAAUCCCAGCACUUUGGGAGGCUGAGGUGGGCGGAUCACAAGGUCAGGAGAUGGAGACCAUCCUGGCGAACACGGUGAAACCCCAUCUCUACAAAAAAUUAGCAGGGCGUGGUGGCUGGCACCUGUAGUCCCAGCUACUCAGGAGGCUGAGGCAGGAGAAUGGCGUGAACCCAGGAGGCGGAGCUUGCAGUGAGCCGAGAUCUCGCCACUGCACUCCAGCCUGGGUGACAGAGCGAGACUCCAUCUCAAAAAAAAAAAAGUUACCAGAGGGUCAAGGCGCGAUGGCUCACACCUGUAAUCCCAGCACUUUGGGAGGCCGAGGCAGGCAGAUCCCCUGAAGUCAGGAGUUUGAGACCAACUUGGCCAACAUGGGGAAGCCCCAUCUCUACUAAAAACAUAAAACUUAGCUGGGCAUGGUGGCUCAUGCCUGCAAUCUCAGCUACUUGGGAGGCUGAGGCAAGAGAAAUGCUUGAACCUGGGAGGCGGAGGUUGCAGAGCCUAGAUCGUGCUACUGCACUCCAGCCUGGGUGACAGCAAGACUACGUCUCAAAAAAAGAAAGAAAGAAAGAAAGAAAGAAAAAGAAAAAUAGGCCGGGCGAGGUGUCUCAUGUCUGUAAUUCCAGCACUUUGGGAGGCCAAGGCAGGCAGAUCACCUGAGGUCGGGAGUUCGAGACAAGCCUGACUAACAUGGAGAAACCCCGUCUCUACUGAAAAUACAAAAUUAGCCAGGCAUGGUGGCGCAUGCCUGCAAUCCCAGCUACUUGGGAGGCUGAGGCAGGAGAAUCGCUUGAACCCGAGAGGUGAAGGUUGCGGUGAGCCAAAAUCACACCAUUACACUCCAGCCUGAGCAACAAGAGCAAAACUCCAUCUCAAAAAAUAAUAAUAAUAAAAUAGUUACCCGACAAUUGAAUGAGCCAAUGUUCUAUAACAGGACUCAAUAAAUGGUGUGUCUUAAUUAAAAUGAGGUUGACCUCCUGGGCUCCAGAACGAUGACAGCUAGCUGUGGAUUGGGCAAAUUUAGCUUUUCCCCAAGGGGAACGCCUUGGGGAAGCCUGCCUGGAAUGUAUGGAUUGAGUCCCCUUGCUUGUACAUCCUGUCCCUCACCAGACUCCAAAGUCUGACCGUGCUGAACUAUUUUGAGUUCUUUGACUAAACCUGCUCUUUCCUCCUCUAGACCUUUGCAUAUGCCAGUCUAUUCCCGCAGCCCUUCUUCCCUCCUGUUUCUCCUGGAAUCUGCUUUGCUCUCUCUCUUUCCUGCCCCCUCCCAGUAAUUACCACAUCAUCUUACUGUUGCCUGUGCCUUCACCAGACUGUAAGCCCUGGAGGGCAGUACCUGGUCUGUCUCAUUCAUGGAUAUAGCUCUAGCAAAGUGCCUGCAUGUUCUCUAAAAAUACUUGUGGUUUUUUUUUUAUUAUUUUAUUUUUUUGAGACGGAGUCUCACUCUGUCG